This 226-nucleotide ribosomal RNA is filed under the name uncultured Bacteroides sp. Its description in RNAcentral is "partial 16S ribosomal RNA". It matches the Rfam family "Bacterial small subunit ribosomal RNA", at positions 383 to 607 of the family's 1533-position model. The record is from RNAcentral. Lineage: Bacteria; Pseudomonadati; Bacteroidota; Bacteroidia; Bacteroidales; Bacteroidaceae.
CUGAACCAGCCAAGUAGCGUGAAGGAUGAAGGUCCUACGGAUUGUAAACUCUUUUAUACGGGAAUAAAGUAUCCUACGUGUAGGAUUUUGUAUGUACCGUAUGAAUAAGCAUCGGCUAACUCCGUGCCAGCAGCCGCGGUAAUACGGAGGAUGCGAGCGUUAUCCGGAUUUAUUGGGUUUAAAGGGAGCGCAGACGGGAGAUUAAGUCAGUUGUGAAAGUUUGCGG